AAGAAAGUAAAUAAGGGCGCAUGGCGGAUGCCUUGGCUCUCGGAGGCGAUGAAGGACGUGAUAAGCUGCGAUAAGCUUCGGGUAGGUGCAAAUGACCUUUGAUCCGAAGAUUUCCGAAUGGGACAACCCGGCAUUCUGAAGGAAUGUCAUCCAACUUUGUUGGAGGCUAACGCAGGGAACUGAAACAUCUUAGUACCUGCAGGAAAAGAAAAUAAAUAAUGAUUCCCCUAGUAGUGGCGAGCGAACGGGGAUUAGCCCAAACCACCCAUGUUACGGCAUGUGUGGGGUUGUAGGACCACGCUCUCGCAAGACAGUUAUUGAGAAGAAACGACUGGAAAGUCGUGCCAUAGACGGUGAUAGCCCGGUAUUCUAAGGUAACCGAAGCGUAGUGGUAUCCUGAGUAGCGCGGAGCACGAGGAAUUCUGCGUGAAUCAGCCGGGACCAUCCGGUAAGGCUAAAUACUCCCGAGAGACCGAUAGCGAACCAGUACUGUGAAGGAAAGGUGAAAAGCACUUCGAAUAGAAGAGUGAAAUAGUCCCUGAAACCAUGCGCCUACAAGCGGUCGGAGCAGCUUCAGCUGUGACGGCGUGCCUUUUGCAUAAUGAACCUACGAGUUACUUUUUCCGGCAAGGUUAAGCAUCUUGAGAUGUGGAUCCGAAGCGAAAGCGAGUCUGAACAGGGCGGAUAGUCGGAAGGAGUAGACGCGAAACCAAGUGAUCUACCCUUGGGCAGGUUGAAGGUUAGGUAACACUAACUGGAGGACCGAACCGAUAAGCGUUGAAAAGCUUCCGGAUGACCUGAGGGUGGGGGUGAAAGGCUAAUCAAACUUGGAGAUAGCUCGUACUCCCCGAAAUGCAUUUAGGUGCAGCCUUGAGAGUUACUAAUGUGAGGUAGAGCGACUGAUAAGAUGCGAGGGCUUCACCGCCUAUCAAGUCUUGAUAAACUCCGAAUGCGCAUUAGUUCUAUCUCAGGAGUGAGGGCAUGGGUGCUAAGGUCCAUGUCCUAAAGGAGAAGAAUCCAGACCAUCAGCUAAGGUCCCCAAAUAAACACUAAGUUGAACUAACGAAGUCAGAUUGCUAAGACAGCUAGGAUGUUGGCUUGGAAGCAGCCAUUCAUUUAAAGAGUGCGUAACAGCUCACUAGUCGAGGAGUUUGGCGUGGAUAAUAAUCGGGCAU
RNAcentral lists this ribosomal RNA (1175 nucleotides) under Bacteroides fragilis. RNAcentral describes it as "partial 23S ribosomal RNA". It matches the Rfam family "Bacterial large subunit ribosomal RNA", at positions 1 to 1182 of the family's 2925-position model. Lineage: Bacteria; Pseudomonadati; Bacteroidota; Bacteroidia; Bacteroidales; Bacteroidaceae. The record is from RNAcentral.